This 373-nucleotide ribosomal RNA is filed under the name uncultured organism. RNAcentral's name for it is "bacterial SSU rRNA". It matches the Rfam family "Bacterial small subunit ribosomal RNA", at positions 526 to 896 of the family's 1533-position model. The record is from RNAcentral.
CGGAGGGGGCUAGCGUUUGUUCGGAAUUACUGGGCGUAAAGGGCGCGCAGGCGGCUGCUCAAGUCAGGCGUGAAAGGCCUGGGCUCAACCCGGGAAUUGCGCUUGAGACUGGGCUGGCUUGAGUGCGGGAGAGGAUGGUGGAAUUCCCAGUGUAGAGGUGAAAUUCGUUGAUAUUGGGAAGAACACCGGUGGCGAAGGCGGCCAUCUGGACCGCAACUGACGCUGAGGCGCGAAAGCGUGGGGAGCAAACAGGAUUAGAUACCCUGGUAGUCCACGCCGUAAACGAUGAGUGCUAGACGUUGGGAAGCCUAGCUUUCCGGUGUCGCAGCUAACGCAUUAAGCACUCCGCCUGGGGAGUACGGCCGCAAGGUUA